RNAcentral lists this ribosomal RNA (422 nucleotides) under uncultured bacterium. RNAcentral's name for it is "partial 16S ribosomal RNA". It matches the Rfam family "Bacterial small subunit ribosomal RNA", at positions 360 to 774 of the family's 1533-position model. The record is from RNAcentral.
AAUAUUGGACAAUGGGGGCAACCCCGAUCCAGCCAUGCCGCGUGUGUGAAGAAGGUCUUCGGAUUGUAAAGCACUCUUAGUUGGGAGGAAGGGCUUUAGGUUAUUACCCUGAAGUUUUGUCGUUACCAACAGAAUAAGCACUGGCUAACUCUUUGCCAGCAGCCGCGGGAACAAAGAGGGUGCAAGCGUUAAUCGGAAUUACUGGGCGUAAAGCGCGCGUAGGUGGUUCAGUAAGAUGGGUGUGAAAUCCCCGGGCUUAACCUGGGGACUGCUUUCAUAACUGCUGAGCUAGAGUACGGUAGAGGGUAGUGGAAUUUCCUGUGUAGCGGUGAAAUGCGUAGAUAUAGGAAGGAACACCAGUGGCGAAGGCGACUACCUGGACUGAUACUGACACUGAGGUGCGAAAGCGUGGGGAGCAAACA